Molecule: ribosomal RNA, 738 nt
Filed under: Staphylococcus aureus
Lineage: Bacteria; Bacillati; Bacillota; Bacilli; Caryophanales; Staphylococcaceae
Description: partial 23S ribosomal RNA
Rfam family: Bacterial large subunit ribosomal RNA
Source: RNAcentral
CGAAGCGUGCGAUUGGAUUGCACGUCUAAGCAGUAAGGCUGAGUAUUAGGCAAAUCCGGUACUCGUUAAGGCUGAGCUGUGAUGGGGAGAAGACAUUGUGUCUUCGAGUCGUUGAUUUCACACUGCCGAGAAAAGCCUCUAGAUAGAAAAUAGGUGCCCGUACCGCAAACCGACACAGGUAGUCAAGAUGAGAAUUCUAAGGUGAGCGAGCGAACUCUCGUUAAGGAACUCGGCAAAAUGACCCCGUAACUUCGGGAGAAGGGGUGCUCUUUAGGGUUAACGCCCAGAAGAGCCGCAGUGAAUAGGCCCAAGCGACUGUUUAUCAAAAACACAGGUCUCUGCUAAACCGUAAGGUGAUGUAUAGGGGCUGACGCCUGCCCGGUGCUGGAAGGUUAAGAGGAGUGGUUAGCUUCUGCGAAGCUACGAAUCGAAGCCCCAGUAAACGGCGGCCGUAACUAUAACGGUCCUAAGGUAGCGAAAUUCCUUGUCGGGUAAGUUCCGACCCGCACGAAAGGCGUAACGAUUUGGGCACUGUCUCAACGAGAGACUCGGUGAAAUCAUAGUACCUGUGAAGAUGCAGGUUACCCGCGACAGGACGGAAAGACCCCGUGGAGCUUUACUGUAGCCUGAUAUUGAAAUUCGGCACAGCUUGUACAGGAUAGGUAGGAGCCUUUGAAACGUGAGCGCUAGCUUACGUGGAGGCGCUGGUGGGAUACUACCCUAGCUGUGUUGGCUUUC